CAGCGCCAAAGCCUCAGA
This 18-nucleotide microRNA is filed under the name Macrophomina phaseolina MS6. RNAcentral's name for it is "miR-4323". The record is from RNAcentral. Lineage: Eukaryota; Fungi; Ascomycota; Dothideomycetes; Botryosphaeriales; Botryosphaeriaceae.